CAUCUGCAACAAUCGAGUUUUAAACAAACCGUGAACCCUCAAUCGCAAUUAUUAGCACACAUUAACGACAGAUUAUUAGCACACAUUACCACAAUUGAACUCCCAUAUCGAUUAAGAACCCUAAAAAAAACCCCCCAAAUCGAUUUUAAUCACAAAUCGCAAAUCCCUUUCGAACAUUCAGAGAAACGAACCCUACAUGAAACGACCAUGACGAUUUACAGCUAUUAUUCGAAACAGAGACUUCGAUUUACAUCCCUAACGCGAAAGCCCCAAUUUUUAAUUGAAAUCCGAGAAAACGGUUUCGAGUUUCCACCACAAAAUCGAACCAAUUCAACCCUCAAUCUACUCGAUACUCACCUGAGCAAGUGGAGAAGACACUCCGUCGUCGAUUAGAACGAGAAAACCUCCGGGAGACGAAGUCGCACGAAAUAUCGCCUCUCAGAAAAAAACCCUAGCUUUUUGGUGGAGAAGAACAAAUGAGGCGAUACACGUCGAACCCCAACUUUCCUCCUCCUCUACGCGCUUUCGUUCAGCAAAUCAACACCCGACGCGUGGCUUGAACCCGCUUCAUACGGUAUCACUCGCAAGGCCCGGUUCAUCAAAACGAACCCAUUUUUUAUUUUCUUUUAUUCAUCGACCCCUUAGAACUCGAGCCCAUGAACCUCACUAAAACCCCUAAUGCUCAUGGUCUAACAUUUUCUUCUCACCAAAUCUUGUUUAUAAGGUAUUCGCAAAUGCAUUUAGCACAAAUAUGUAGAUCAUAUUUGGCAUAAGAUUGCUAGAGUUUAAUUAGUAGAUCAGCUGUAUCUAACACAAAUAUGUAAAUCAUAUUUGGCAUAAGAUUGCUAGAGUUUAAUUAGAUCAUGCUGUAUCUAUCAUCUAACAUAAUCAAGUUAUAGCAAAAAAAUUAUAGUUUGAAGUUUUAGACGAUUGUAGUGGUCCAAUGGAUAUAAACAGCUUGAAAAUGUGGUGAAACAUUAGCCGAGGAUUUAAUUAGUCAAUCAAGACUCUCGGUAAUGUCUUUACCUAGACAAUAUGAAUAUGAUUGACUGGUGUAAAUCUAAACUUUAAUGGGGUUUAAGCAAAUGUAACAAUGGGACUGAAUUACUGUCGUUACUAAUUAGCAAUUCAUUGCUCAUGCAUGCAUCGUGUAUGCGAUUGGAGCUGAUAAACAAGGCUGUGAAUGAUACAGCAUAACUUUUUAGUAUAUGCAUUCGAUACCGGAGAUGGCCAUUUUUAAGAAUUUGAAUAAGAUUGUUUCUUGCCCAGCUUAGCCUCCCUUAAUCUUUGGGGUUUAUUUUUUUUAACUCAAAUCUUUGGGGGUUUUAGCUUCCCGUAUAACUCUCGGGCGGGCUUUGUUACCGGUUGAUCCGGCUUUGUAACUCUCUCAAAAACAUGAUGUUAAUAUAAAUUUAAUUCAGUGGAAAAAGAAUAAGAUCGUUUAUAGCUUUGUGGCAUUUAAAUAAAAAAUAUUCAUUGAUAAAAAAAAUAUAUAUUCUACUACUCACAUUUUGCAAUAUUUUUUUUUUUUGAUAAUCGUGGUAUCCGAAUGCCCCGUGGGGAUCCGACUAGCAACUAAAAACCGUCCGGAUGAAUCUGAACCACUAAGGGUCCGCCGGAGCCCGCCGAAGGCAUCCACGAGGGCUGGUGAUCACCCCAUGUAAAUCCCACCAGUGGCCAGCGCAGUUGGAAGUGUCCGUAUCGAGCCCGAAAACCCUCAAGAGCAACAUCCGCCAGCGGAACUCGAACCCAUGACUUCCCAGGUUGAGUACCGCCACUUUGCAAUAUUUGCUCUAAACGUAUGAUGUAUUUCAAUUUUCUUGUUAGGCAAUAAAACAGUAUAUGCAUUAAAUAAUAAUCUAUUCAUUUCAUAAUAAAAGUCGUUUAUUUUUUACAUGUAUUAAUUUUUUUAUUUAAUAUAUGUUAUUUAUCAAAUUAUUUUAUCUACUUUUAUUAAUUAAUAAGGUUAAAAUAAAGAUAAAACUGAACAAUUUCAUUUAAUAUGUACAUUAAAAACAUAAAUGAUAUUAUAAUAAAACAAAUUUAAAGAUUAAAACAAUAUUAAUAUCAAGGAGUGAAUAUAUAUAUAUAUAUAUAGAUACUGAUAGUAAUUUCUUUUUAAAGAUAUAGCCUUCAUUUUCCAAGUGGUCAUAUAGUCAUUUUCUAUCACCUCACUAAUCCCUUAUAUAUUAAAAGAGAAGCAUUGUAAUAAAUACAUUCACACUAUAAUAGACACGUGGUAGCUUCACGAUAAUUUGAUAAUAAAUAUGUUAACGCAUUCACACUAUAUUCAUAAAUGUGUUCAUACUAUAUACUUUGUAUUUUUUUAAUAUAAAACUCACAUGCAUUGUUCAAAUAAAACUUUGAAUUAUUCUGUUCGAAUCAAAACAAAUAACGAAUCAAAAGCUAAACUAUAUAUAUAUUAUUUUUAUUUUUUAUGGAUAAAGUUGGGCAAAAUAUUCAUAAAUUUUGAUUCUAUUCGUUAUCCGUUUUGAUUUGAAACAAAAAAUCUAGAUAAUUUAUAACUCUACGAAGCAAAUCAAAUACUAAAAUACUAUAUCCAAAAAAGAAGCAAAUCACAAAUACCAAUAUUUUUAGGAAUGAAUAUCUAAUUCGAUCUGUUAUAUACAUAUAUGUAAAGAACUAUAUAUAUAUAUAUAUAUUAUAGUCUAUAUAAGUUUUACAAUAUUUUUAUGAAUUAAAUUUUGUUAUAUUAGGAACUAGAAUUUUUUCUUAAAAUGUUUUAUUUUGUAAUAAAAUGUUAUUAUUAAUUUUUUCAAUUAUUUUUAAAAUUUUAUUUUAUUUACGGAUCAAAUCGGAUAUUCUUUAAAAUUCUAAAAUAAAAUCGGAUAUCCGAGUCACCGAAUAUCCAGGUGGCUAAAGAUCGAAUCGACACAAAUGCCUCCAAAUAUCCGGAUAUUUGAUCUGUGCCCACCCCUAUUUACGGAUAUAAUUUUAUUUUCUUUAUAUGAAAGAAAUUCACUAAUGUCAAGGCCUUUUUUAUUUUUAAUUAAUUUUAAUUUUAUCUUUUAUGUAUUAUUUUGAACAAAAAUGUCAUUUAAUAUUAAUUAACAAUACAAGUAUUUUUAUAUAUUUUUACAUACACAUACAAGUGCACCUUGAUGUGAGCACUUUGUAACUAAGUAUUCACCACAACUGAAGUAUCUAAUUUUUUUUUAAGUUGAAAUAUUUUUUUUUUCUUAAAGCUUCUUUCACUACCGACCAAAUUGUAGUAAAAUGAUUUGUCUUAAUAAUUUUUUUUUCUUUUUUUUGAAUUAUUAUCUAUUUAGAAACUAUAAUAUGAAACCAUUGGUUUGACACGAUGACUAUCUUAAAUUCAUAACAUAAAAAUAAAUAAAUAAUAGUAAUUUUUGUUUUUUUACCGAAAAAACAAAAGAAAUCAAACAUUUUAACAGAAAGAACCAAAAAACGUAAAACCGAAUCAAUAUCCAAAUUAAACAGAUUUAUUGUUUUUUUAUUGAAAAUAAUGAAACUAAUAAUCACAUUCUCCGCAAGGCGCGGAUUAUUACCUAGUUUAUAAUUAACUGAGACAUAAAAAAAAAGAACAUUAAGUAGGCUUUGAAUCUUUGAUUGAACAAAUCAACUUUGUCCCCUUCACGUGUCUUUUACAUUCACAGGUCUAAAUAAUAUUUCAUUUGACCUAUCUGUCCCUAGCUCUAUAUAUAUUCAACUUCAGCUUCUUUCUAGCUAAAGCUUCUCUCUAUUUUCAUCUUCAAUGGCUGCCUCCUACCACGUUCGCUCUUCUAGCUUACCAUCUAGGCUACACUCAAGUGGUCUCAGUCAUAUCCAACUCCUCCUCAAGAAGCUACCUACAGAUAAUAAUAAUAACAGCCUCUCACUUCUGUCACAGCUUUACCACUCCGUCUCUCAUCUCUUCAACGAAUCACCUUCUUCAUUGCUACUCCCUCAUCACUCCUUCUUUACUCAUCUUCUUGAUCUCUCCCUUGUACACCUUGACUUGUGUUCCAAGCUAAGAGACAUCACUUGCCGCAUCAAGGACUGUCUCCGUGACCUCCGUUCUGCUUUCAGACGGAGGAGACACGGUGGAGAUUCCACCAUCCGCCGCCACGUUAUAUCCUUUAUCCGCUCCAGGAAAGCGGUUCACAAGGAUCUAGCUAAGCUACUCUUGUUGCUGAAACAUGCCGACCACUCCUACUCAGGGCCAACUCAUCAUUUGAUCACACUGCUCCGACAAGUUUGUUCCCAGACAUGUCUUUCUUUUAGGACAGUCUUGUUGUCGUUAUCCACAUCAGUACCAAAGCCAAGACCUUCUAAGUGGGCUUUAGUUACCAAAUUGGUGAUCAAGAACGUUACUAAUACAGGUGCUCAAGUUCAGACAGGACACAGAAACGAGUACCAGUUGAUGGAUGAAGAACUACAAAGAUUCUGCACGGCGAAAGAGAUAAAGAAGGAAAGAAUCAAGUCAUUGAACACAAGCUUAGAUAAAGUCGAUAUUGUAGUUGAAGAUCUGGAGGAGACGCUUGAAAGCUUGUACAGGCGUAUGAUCCAAGCUAGAGUCUCACAAAAUCGAACCAAUUCAACCCUCAAUCUACUCGAUACUCACCUGAGCAAGUGGAGAAGACACUCCGUCGUCGAUUAGAACGAGAAAACCUCCGGGAGACGAAGUCGCACGAAAUAUCGCCUCUCAGAAAAAAACCCUAGCUUUUUGGUGGAGAAGAACAAAUGAGGCGAUACACGUCGAACCCCAACUUUCCUCCUCCUCUACGCGCUUUCGUUCAGCAAAUCAACACCCGACGCGUGGCUUGAACCCGCUUCAUACGGUAUCACUCGCAAGGCCCGGUUCAUCAAAACGAACCCAUUUUUUAUUUUCUUUUAUUCAUCGACCCCUUAGAACUCGAGCCCAUGAACCUCACUAAAACCCCUAAUGCUCAUGGUCUAACAUUUUCUUCUCACCAAAUCUUGUUUAUAAGGUAUUCGCAAAUGCAUUUAGCACAAAUAUGUAGAUCAUAUUUGGCAUAAGAUUGCUAGAGUUUAAUUAGUAGAUCAGCUGUAUCUAACACAAAUAUGUAAAUCAUAUUUGGCAUAAGAUUGCUAGAGUU
This 5081-nucleotide long non-coding RNA is filed under the name Brassica napus (rape). Its description in RNAcentral is "long non-coding RNA (BNAP_LNC009813)". The record is from RNAcentral. Lineage: Eukaryota; Viridiplantae; Streptophyta; Magnoliopsida; Brassicales; Brassicaceae.